UCAUUUAAAUGUAUUUGUUGAGGGAGAUC
This 29-nucleotide non-coding RNA is filed under the name Rattus norvegicus (Norway rat). The record is from RNAcentral. Lineage: Eukaryota; Metazoa; Chordata; Mammalia; Rodentia; Muridae.